GGCCCUGUCUUCUAGAGGCCUAGGAAGUUGGAUUUUCAUUCCAAAAACACGGGUUCGAAUCCCGUCAGGGUCA
This 73-nucleotide transfer RNA is filed under the name Parcubacteria group bacterium RIFCSPHIGHO2_01_FULL_47_10b. RNAcentral's name for it is "tRNA-Glu". It matches the Rfam family "tRNA". From Rfam's summary of the family: Transfer RNA (tRNA) molecules are approximately 80 nucleotides in length. The record is from RNAcentral.